Molecule: ribosomal RNA, 2233 nt
Filed under: Salmonella enterica subsp. enterica serovar Typhi
Lineage: Bacteria; Pseudomonadati; Pseudomonadota; Gammaproteobacteria; Enterobacterales; Enterobacteriaceae
Description: partial 23S ribosomal RNA
Rfam family: Bacterial large subunit ribosomal RNA
Source: RNAcentral
AUCUAGCCAUGGGCAGGUUGAAGGUUGGGUAACACUAACUGGAGGACCGAACCGACUAAUGUUGAAAAAUUAGCGGAUGACCUGUGGCUGGGGGUGAAAGGCCAAUCAAACCGGGAGAUAGCUGGUUCUCCCCGAAAGCUAUUUAGGUAGCGCCUCGUGAAUUCAUCUCCGGGGGUAGAGCACUGUUUCGGCUAGGGGGCCAUCCCGGCUUACCAACCCGAUGCAAACUGCGAAUACCGGAGAAUGUUAUCACGGGAGACACACGGCGGGUGCUAAUGUCCGUCGUGAAGAGGGAAACAACCCAGACCGCCAGCUAAGGUCCCAAAGUCAUGGUUAAGUGGGAAACGAUGUGGGAAGGCCCAGACAGCCAGGAUGUUGGCUUAGAAGCAGCCAUCAUUUAAAGAAAGCGUAAUAGCUCACUGGUCGAGUCGGCCUGCGCGGAAGAUGUAACGGGGCUAAACCAUGCACCGAAGCUGCGGCAGCGACACCGUGUGUUGUUGGGUAGGGGAGCGUUCUGUAAGCCUGUGAAGGUGUGCUGUGAGGCAUGCUGGAGGUAUCAGAAGUGCGAAUGCUGACAUAAGUAACGAUAAAGCGGGUGAAAAGCCCGCUCGCCGGAAGACCAAGGGUUCCUGUCCAACGUUAAUCGGGGCAGGGUGAGUCGACCCCUAAGGCGAGGCCGAAAGGCGUAGUCGAUGGGAAACGGGUUAAUAUUCCCGUACUUGGUGUUACUGCGAAGGGGGGACGGAGAAGGCUAUGUUGGCCGGGCGACGGUUGUCCCGGUUUAAGCGUGUAGGUAUGUGUUCCAGGUAAAUCCGGUUCACUUUAACACUGAGGCGUGACGACGAGGCACUACGGUGCUGAAGCAACAAAUGCCCUGCUUCCAGGAAAAGCCUCUAAGCAUCAGGUAACAUCAAAUCGUACCCCAAACCGACACAGGUGGUCAGGUAGAGAAUACCAAGGCGCUUGAGAGAACUCGGGUGAAGGAACUAGGCAAAAUGGUGCCGUAACUUCGGGAGAAGGCACGCUGACACGUAGGUGAAGUGAUUUACUCACGGAGCUGAAGUCAGCCGAAGAUACCAGCUGGCUGCAACUGUUUAUUAAAAACACAGCACUGUGCAAACACGAAAGUGGACGUAUACGGUGUGACGCCUGCCCGGUGCCGGAAGGUUAAUUGAUGGGGUCAGCGCAAGCGAAGCUCCUGAUCGAAGCCCCGGUAAACGGCGGCCGUAACUAUAACGGUCCUAAGGUAGCGAAAUUCCUUGUCGGGUAAGUUCCGACCUGCACGAAUGGCGUAAUGAUGGCCAGGCUGUCUCCACCCGAGACUCAGUGAAAUUGAACUCGCUGUGAAGAUGCAGUGUACCCGCGGCAAGACGGAAAGACCCCGUGAACCUUUACUAUAGCUUGACACUGAACAUUGAGCCUUGAUGUGUAGGAUAGGUGGGAGGCUUUGAAGUGUGGACGCCAGUCUGCAUGGAGCCGACCUUGAAAUACCACCCUUUAAUGUUUGAUGUUCUAACGUGGACCCGUGAUCCGGGUUGCGGACAGUGUCUGGUGGGUAGUUUGACUGGGGCGGUCUCCUCCUAAAGAGUAACGGAGGAGCACGAAGGUUGGCUAAUCCUGGUCGGACAUCAGGAGGUUAGUGCAAUGGCAUAAGCCAGCUUGACUGCGAGCGUGACGGCGCGAGCAGGUGCGAAAGCAGGUCAUAGUGAUCCGGUGGUUCUGAAUGGAAGGGCCAUCGCUCAACGGAUAAAAGGUACUCCGGGGAUAACAGGCUGAUACCGCCCAAGAGUUCAUAUCGACGGCGGUGUUUGGCACCUCGAUGUCGGCUCAUCACAUCCUGGGGCUGAAGUAGGUCCCAAGGGUAUGGCUGUUCGCCAUUUAAAGUGGUACGCGAGCUGGGUUUAGAACGUCGUGAGACAGUUCGGUCCCUAUCUGCCGUGGGCGCUGGAGAACUGAGGGGGGCUGCUCCUAGUACGAGAGGACCGGAGUGGACGCAUCACUGGUGUUCGGGUUGUCAUGCCAAUGGCACUGCCCGGUAGCUAAAUGCGGAAGAGAUAAGUGCUGAAAGCAUCUAAGCACGAAACUUGCCCCGAGAUGAGUUCUCCCUGAGACUUUAGGUCUCCUGAAGGAACGUUGAAGACGACGACGUUGAUAGGCCGGGUGUGUAAGCGCAGCGAUGCGUUGAGCUAACCGGUACUAAUGAACCGUGAGGCUUAACCUUACAACGCCGAAG